Oxyura jamaicensis (ruddy duck) is the source of this 835-nucleotide long non-coding RNA. RefSeq lists it as uncharacterized. The record is from RefSeq and is a predicted model, not a curated record. The transcript is spliced from 2 exons. Lineage: Eukaryota; Metazoa; Chordata; Aves; Anseriformes; Anatidae.
CCAAACUUAUUUUUCCUGGCACAAUCACCAGCCAUGAUGAUAUAGUAGAUUCUGGCUCUAGGUUGCAAUCUGAAUAUGGGCAGCAGGUGGCAUUAGGCUGUCCUGGAAACAUUCACAUACCAUUUUGAAGUAGAUUUCAAAUCACUACUGACGCACAUAUUGCUGCCUGGGAACUUCUUAUUUAAUCUGAUGUCUUGUCUCUCACCCACUAAUUUAUAUCAAUCCCUUUCUUUCCAUUCACACUUUAAAUCAAACACGGGUGUCUUUUUAAGGGCUUUAAGUGGCAGGGAAUCCACAGCAUUUAGCGUUUGUAGUGAUUAAUUACCACUGCUAUUUAGAGUCACACCUACAUCUAAGUUUGAAUGUGCCUUUGAAGUUUGCAUUCAUCGGGUUUCGUUAGAACAUUUUUGUUUUAAUAUAAAAGCAUUUUGAUAACAAACCUCUUGCCAUAUUACUCAGUGUGCUUAAACACUGACAAGUGCCACAGGAGUGGAGAUGGCUUCCGACCACCUGAGAGUCACGGUGAAGAAAUUCUCACUCAAGGCUGCCAGCCAGAGACUAUGCUUUCCACCAGUGUUUCUUAUCUUGUGUGGCCCUACCAAAAUGCACAGUCCAAGCUACAGCAUGGUUCUGGGCUCUAUUCCCAAGCCUGUGAAUGUGAGAGAUGCUGGAGGUGUGAAGUGGGAAGUAGGAACCUGGGGUGCUGGAGUUCUGGCACUUCUGAUGAGGACAGCAGCUGAGGUCUAGGAAGAUUCAAACACAGAAAGAGAAAAAGAAAGAAGAAUCUGAAUAGAGCAACACUUGAAAACUAAAUAUGUGAUGGCUUAGAGACAAA